CCUACGGGCGGCAGCAGUGAGGAAUAUUGGUCAAUGGGCGGGAGCCUGAACCAGCCACGCCGCGUGAGGGAAGAAGGUACAGCAUAUCGUAAACCUCUUUUGUCAGGGAACAAAGGCGGGGACUAGUCCCCGGAUGAGGGUACCUGAAGAAAAAGCAUCGGCAAACUCCGUGCCAGCAGCCGCGGUAAUCCGGAGGAUGCGAGCGUUAUCCGGAUUUAUUGGGGUUAACGGGUGCGCAGGCGGCCUGUUAAGUCAGCGGUAAAAGCCCGGGGCUCAACCCCGGCGAGCCGUUGAAACUGGCUGGCUGGAGUUGGAGAGAGGUACGCGGAAUGCGCGGUGUAGCGGUGAAAUGCUGAGAUAUCGCGCAGAACCCCGAUUGCGAAGGCAGUGUGCCGGCUCCACACUGACGCUGAGGCACGAAAGCGUGGGGAGCGAACAGGAUUAGAUACCCUUGUAGUC
This 459-nucleotide ribosomal RNA is filed under the name uncultured bacterium. RNAcentral describes it as "partial 16S ribosomal RNA". It matches the Rfam family "Bacterial small subunit ribosomal RNA", at positions 338 to 795 of the family's 1533-position model. The record is from RNAcentral.